RNAcentral lists this ribosomal RNA (461 nucleotides) under uncultured bacterium. Its description in RNAcentral is "partial 16S ribosomal RNA". It matches the Rfam family "Bacterial small subunit ribosomal RNA", at positions 338 to 795 of the family's 1533-position model. The record is from RNAcentral.
CCUACGGGUGGCAGCAGUGAGGAAUAUUGGUCAAUGGGCUUACGCCUGAACCAGCCAAGUCGCGUGAGGGAAGACUGCCCUAUGGGUUGUAAACCUCUUUUGUCAGGGAGCAACGCCGGCUACGUGUGGCCGGACUGAGAGUACCUGACUAAGAAGCCCCGGCUAACUACGUGCCAGCAGCCGCGGUAAUACGUAGGGGGCAAGCGUUAUCCGGAUUUACUGGGUGUAAAGGGAGCGUAGACGGCUGUACAAGUCUGAAGUGAAAGCCCGUGGCUCAACCGCGGAACUGCUUUGGAAACUGUAAAGCUGGAGUACUGGCGAGGCAGGCGGAAUUCCUAGUGUAGGAGUGAAAUCCGUAGAUAUCUGGAGGAACAUCAGUGGCGAAGGCGACUAUCUGGCACAUAACUGACGCUGAGGAGCGAAAGCGUGGGUAGCAAACAGGAUUAGAUACCCGUGUAGUC